RNAcentral lists this ribosomal RNA (468 nucleotides) under uncultured bacterium. Its description in RNAcentral is "partial 16S ribosomal RNA". It matches the Rfam family "Bacterial small subunit ribosomal RNA", at positions 28 to 507 of the family's 1533-position model. The record is from RNAcentral.
GACGAACGCUGGCGGCGUGCUUAACACAUGCAAGUCGAACGGAAAGGCCCUGCUUUUGUGGGGUGCUCGAGUGGCGAACGGGUGAGUAACACGUGAGUAACCUGCCCUUGACUUUGGGAUAACUUCAGGAAACUGGGGCUAAUACCGGAUAGGAGCUCCUGCUGCAUGGUGGGGGUUGGAAAGUUUCGGCGGUUGGGGAUGGACUCGCGGCUUAUCAGCUUGUUGGUGGGGUAGUGGCUUACCAAGGCUUUGACGGGUAGCCGGCCUGCGAGGGUGACCGGCCACACUGGGACUGAGAUACGGCACAGACUCCUACGGGAGGCAGCAGUGGGGAAUAUUGCACAAUGGGCGGAAGCCUGAUGCAGCAACGCCGCGUGCGGGAUGACGGCCUUCGGGUUGUAAACCGCUUUCGCCUGUGACGAAGCGUGAGUGACGGUAAUGGGUAAAGAAGCACCGGCUAACUACGUG